UCUCCCCUUUCCUAUUUCCCCUAAGAGGUCAACUCUACAGGUGGCCCGUACUUGUAGUUCCAACACUUGGGAGGCUGAGGCAGGAGGAU
This 89-nucleotide microRNA precursor is filed under the name Microtus ochrogaster (prairie vole). Its description in RNAcentral is "miRNA (ENSMOCG00000005737.1)". Lineage: Eukaryota; Metazoa; Chordata; Mammalia; Rodentia; Cricetidae. The record is from RNAcentral.